CUGGACUCUUCCAGCUGGCUCCUGCAGCUAACCAAGACCCUCACGUCACCGUGCACGUCCCACGCUGCACCUGGAGGAAGGUGGUGCGCGACUGCCUUCUGGAGGCGGAUAUGAUCAUAAGAACUAGGAGGCCAGAAACAAUUCCAUGACUCCCCUGCCUCCUCCAACCAGCUGCUUGGCACUAUGAAGACAAGGAAUUAGGAUUGGUGAAGAAGAGGGAUGGCAACAUAAUGGUCUUGGUCUGGAAAAAGCACACAUUUUCUGCUGACAUCCCCAAGGAGCUCAACCUCAAGAUCAUCUACCAACGUAU
Gadus morhua (Atlantic cod) is the source of this 310-nucleotide long non-coding RNA. The record is from Ensembl. Lineage: Eukaryota; Metazoa; Chordata; Actinopteri; Gadiformes; Gadidae.